GACGAACGCUGGCGGCGUGCUUAACACAUGCAAGUCGAACGGAAAGGCCCUGCUUUUGUGGGGUGCUCGAGUGGCGAACGGGUGAGUAACACGUGAGUAACCUGCCCUUGACUUUGGUAUAACUUCAGGAAACUGGGGCUAAUACCGGAUAGGAGCUCCUGCUGCAUGGUGGGGGUUGGAAAGUUUCGGCGGUUGGGGAUGGGCUCGCGGCUUAUCAGCUUGUUGGUGGGGUAGUGGCUUACCAAGGCGUUGACGGGUAGCCGGCCUGAGAGGGUGACCGGCCACAUUGUGACUGAGAUACGGCCCAGACUCCUACGGGAGGUAGCAGUGGGGAAUAUUGCACAAUGGGCGGAAGCCUGAUGCAGCAACGCCGCGUGCGGGAUGACGGGCUUCGGGUUGUGAACCGCUUUCGCCUGUGACGAAGCGUGAGUGACGGUAAUGGGUAAAGAAGCACCGGCUAACUACGUG
Molecule: ribosomal RNA, 468 nt
Filed under: uncultured bacterium
Lineage: Bacteria
Description: partial 16S ribosomal RNA
Rfam family: Bacterial small subunit ribosomal RNA
Source: RNAcentral